RNAcentral lists this ribosomal RNA (465 nucleotides) under uncultured Syntrophus sp. RNAcentral's name for it is "bacterial SSU rRNA". It matches the Rfam family "Bacterial small subunit ribosomal RNA", at positions 920 to 1382 of the family's 1533-position model. Lineage: Bacteria; Pseudomonadati; Thermodesulfobacteriota; Syntrophia; Syntrophales; Syntrophaceae. The record is from RNAcentral.
CCCGGCACAAGCGGUGGAGCAUGUGGUUUAAUUCGAUGCAACGCGAAGAACCUUACCUGGGCUUGACAUCCACGGAACCUGCUGGAAACAGUGGGUGCCUUUCGGGGAGCCGUGAGACAGGUGCUGCAUGGCUGUCGUCAGCUCGUGUCGUGAGAUGUUGGGUUAAGUCCCGCAACGAGCGCAACCCUUGUCUUUAAUUGCCAUCAUUCAGUUGGGCACUUUAAAGAGACUGUCGGUGUUAAACCGGAGGAAGGUGGGGAUGACGUCAAGUCCUCAUGGCCUUUAUGCCCAGGGCUACACACGUGCUACAAUGGCGCAUACAGAGGGGAGCGAAGCCGUGAGGUGGAGCGAAUCUUGUCAAAGUGCGCCUCAAUUCGGAUUGCAGUCUGCAACUCGACUGCAUGAAGUUGGAAUCGCUAGUAAUCGCGGAUCAGCAAAGCCGCGGUGAAUACGUUCCCGGGCCUU